RNAcentral lists this long non-coding RNA (1559 nucleotides) under Nicotiana tabacum (common tobacco). RNAcentral describes it as "long non-coding RNA (NTAB_LNC018869)". The record is from RNAcentral. Lineage: Eukaryota; Viridiplantae; Streptophyta; Magnoliopsida; Solanales; Solanaceae.
AUUGAUUCCUUUAGCAAUAUUUGAUAUUAUUGAGUCAUUUUUGAAUAGAUACGAGUGGUUUGAAGGUGAAUUCCAAAGAAAAAGCUGUGAUUGAGAAUUAAGUAGCCUUCGGAGCGAGGUAAGUAUUGUGUCUAACCAUGACUUAAGGGAAUUAGGAACCUUAGAUUACUUGCUAAGUGAAAUCCAUGUGAGUGGCGUAUAUGUGAGGUGACGAGUACUUAUGCGUCACCAAAUUUAACUGUUUUUCCAUGUUUCUCUGUUUUUCUUACAUUGUCUUUUCCUGUGUCAAAUUGCUACGUGUUGUGCUAGAAUUAUUCAACUUAUCGUUCUUAUCAUUUUUACAGAUUUUCUAGUGAUAAUUGAGUUUUUAUUUCAAAGUUGAGAUUGAUAGUAUGGAACCAAAUAUUGAAGUAAAAUUUGUACUUGUUAUUCUAUCUCCCUGUUAAUAUUUAUGCAUUCUAUUAUGGUAAGGGAGAGUGUUAAUGCACGAAGGGUGAUGUCGUGCCAUAUUGUGAGUCUUAAUGCACGAAGGGUGAUGUCGUGCCAUAUUGUGAGUGUUAAUACACGAAGGGUGAUGUCGUGCCAUAUUGUGUUUGUUAAUGCACGAAGGGUGAUGUCGUGCCAUAUUGUGAGUGUUAAUGCACGAAGGGUGAUGUCGUGCCAUAUUGUGAGUGUUAAUGCACGAAGGGUGAUGCCGUGCCAUGAUAUGAGAGUAAAAGCACAAAGGGUGAUGCCGUGCUGUUUCUAUUAAUUUUACGGUGAGAUUGAGAGUAAAAGCACGAAGGGUGAUGUCGUGCAUUUUUCCUUGCUCUAUUCACUAUUCCUGUUGAUUCAUGGUAUAUUGACUGCUCCGGUGAUCAUUUUGUUGUAGUUCUUUAUCUUGUAUUCCCCUUAGUAUGUUUCCCCUCCCGACAUUUCAUGUUUAGUUCUUCAUUUUUGUUAUUUGCAUAUACACUGUUAAAUUUGUACAGGUUAAAUUGUAGGUGUCUUGCCUUAGCCUCGUCACUACUUCAUCGAGAUUAAACUCGACACUUAUCAGUACAUGGGGUCAAUUGUAUUGAUGCUGCACUCUACACUUUCUGUGCAGAUUUUGAUACCGGCUCAGGUUGAUCGAGAUUUGCUACUAGUCUGCUGUCCGGAGACUCAAGAUAGAUCUGUCGGCGUUCACAGACCUUGAAGUCCCCGUCUAUUAUUUAUGUCCUACUAUUUUCUUUCAUUCAUACAGUUGUAUUUCUUUCAGACUAUUGCUUGUAGUAAAUUCUAGAAUACUCGUGAAUUGUGAUUCCAGACCCGGGUGGUAGUAAUUAAUACAGUUUUACGAUAUUCCGCACUUAUUAUAUUUCAUCUUAGUUAGUUAUUGUUAUUUACUGAAUGGAAAUAAGGAAUUGGUUUAACGAUUUUCUAACGUUAGCGUGCCUAGCAAGUGAAAUGUUAGGCGCCAUCAAGGUCCCGUCGGUGGGAAAUUUUGGGUCGUGACAGUUGGUAUCAGAGCACUAGGUUGCCUUCUAUUCUUAGUAGAGUCUGGAGGAUCAGUACGGAGACGUUUGUGCUUAUCUUCC